This 436-nucleotide ribosomal RNA is filed under the name uncultured bacterium. RNAcentral's name for it is "bacterial SSU rRNA". It matches the Rfam family "Bacterial small subunit ribosomal RNA", at positions 29 to 464 of the family's 1533-position model. The record is from RNAcentral.
AUUGAACGCUGGCGGCAUGCUUUACACAAGCAAGUCGAACGGCAGCGGGGCCUCCGGCCUGCCGGCGAGUGGCGAACGGGUGAGUAAUGCAUCGGAACGUGCCCAGUCAUGGGGAAUAACUACGCGAAAGCGUAGCUAAUACCGCAUACGUCCUGAGGGGGAAAGCGGGGGAUCGCAAGACCUCGCGUGAUUGGAAGCGGCCGAUGUCGGAUUAGCUAGUUGGUGGGGUAAAGGCCUACCAAGGCGACGAUCCGUAGCGGGUCUGAGAGGACGAUCCGCCACACUGGGUCUGAGACACGGCCCAGACUCCUACGGGAGGCAGCAGUGGGGAAUUUUGGACAAUCGGGGGCAACCCUGAUCCAGCCAUGCCGCGUGACUGAAGAAGGCCUUCGGGUUGUAAAGCUCUUUCAGACGGAAAGAAAUCGGGUGGUUCAAU